AACGAACGCUGGCGGCAGGCUUAACACAUGCAAGUCGAACGCAUCCUUCGGGGUGAGUGGCAGACGGGUGAGUAACGCGUGGGAACGUGCCCUUCAGUUCGGGAUAACCCAGGGAAACUUGGGCUAAUACCGGAUACGUGCGAGAGCAGAAAGAUUUAUCGCUGAAGGAUCAGCCCGCGUCUGAUUAGCUAGUUGGUGGGGUAAUGGCCCACCAAGGCGACGAGCAGUAGCUGGUCUGAGAGGAUGAUCAGCCACAUUGGGACUGAGACACAGUGAAAACUACGGCGGGAGGCAGGAGUGGGGAAUAUUGGACAAGAGGCGCAAGCCUGAGCCAGACAUGCCGCGUGAGUGAUGAAGGGCUUAGGGUUGUAAAGCUCUUUCGUCCGGGGAGAUAAUGACGGUACCGGAAGAAGAAGCCCCGGCUAACUUCGUGCCAGCCGCCGCUGUAA
Molecule: ribosomal RNA, 449 nt
Filed under: uncultured bacterium
Lineage: Bacteria
Description: partial 16S ribosomal RNA
Rfam family: Bacterial small subunit ribosomal RNA
Source: RNAcentral